Molecule: microRNA precursor, 129 nt
Filed under: Podarcis lilfordi (Lilford's wall lizard)
Lineage: Eukaryota; Metazoa; Chordata; Lepidosauria; Squamata; Lacertidae
Source: RNAcentral
CUUCCAGUAGCAUCCUAGAGACCAACUAAGGUAGUUAUUGGUAUGAGCUUUCGUGUGCAUGCACACUUCUUGCACACGAAAGGUCAUACCAAUAACUAACUUAGUUGGUCUCUAAGGUGCUACUGGAAG